RNAcentral lists this long non-coding RNA (2879 nucleotides) under Daphnia magna. RNAcentral describes it as "uncharacterized LOC116936096, transcript variant X5". Lineage: Eukaryota; Metazoa; Arthropoda; Branchiopoda; Diplostraca; Daphniidae. The record is from RNAcentral.
UCUAAAUAUAUUUUAGCUUUCGUUAUUAACAUACGAGUGGUUAAAAAUUGCGGCUAACUGACUGAUACCUCAGACAGCGUAACGUUUGCCACACCAUUUGUUUUUGUAUCACAGGCGUCACAGGUUCUCAGCUGGGCUAGGUCACGAAGUUUAGUCCAGAGAUGGUCUAGUGAUCAGGACCACGUUAAAAAAUGAAAGCAUUUGCUACACAUCUUUCUCGAUUAUCUUCAGAAUUAAAAGAAUGCACGCAUCUUAAUUGGCUCGUAAAGGUGAUUGCAGUGAACCCCAAUUGAGGCCACAAUGUGUGUUCAGGAAAAUCACCCUUCUACACAACCAUUUCUUCACAGCAGAUUUUCAGCUCUCUUAUUGAUAACUGAAAUUGGUUGCUCCGAAAAACCCUAUGAAAUUUUCCGAAUGGCAGACGUUCGUCAAGAUUAAAAUUUAACACUGCAAACUAUAGAGCGUCGUACCAUGCCGGCGAAAGGCCUGGAGAUCUAUUUGGUCGCAUUGAUGUAACAAUGAAGAACCAUCACUUCUCCUCAUUUUUGUAGUAAUGGAACGGCUCAUUCACAACUAGAGUGCACAGAAUAUGCAAACGUUUGACGUCUUUUCGCCAGAAAUAAUAGCCACUACAGCGGAAACCACUGAACGACGAAGAUUCUGACCUUAGACUCUGGUCCUGCCACUGUGCAAGAGAGGCAUUCGCUACAAAGCUGGAACGUGAUGGUUAGAGGUAUCCAGGGACGGUGGGUCGUGGAUUAUUCUGUAUUCCAUUGAGAUACUUUUAAAUGAACUGAUCAGUAAGCAAAGCCGUGCAUCAUCAAGUAUACCAUUGGGAUACUUUUACCUCAACCGAAGAACACAUUUUCUGUGGAAGACAACAUUAUUCUAGUCGUCACAACAUAAAAAUUUAGAGACAGCGGCAGACUUCAAGCUAGCAAGCAUUUUGACGACAUGUUCAGGCACUGGAGGAGGAGUGGGCAAAUGAUCACCGGUGACCUGGAAUCCGUUUUCGUCAGCGAACCAAUUGACAGUAAGGACAAUGCCGUCCGGAGAGGUGUACAAGUAAGAUCCUUUAGAAACUGUGCCAAUAUCUUCAGGCUUAAGUCCUACUUGCUUCUGCUUGCCGCUCUCGGAGACUUUGGUUCCAUCAGCACUAUCAAAGCUUUUGAGGUAUAAAAUGAUAUUUCAGAAUUAAAAGUAGUGCAAGUUGACCAUGAAAUAAGAAGUCCUAACUUACACGAAAGAAUAGCUACUAUCAGCGUUCAUUUCACUAUUGGAGGAGAUAAUUCCCCUAUAGGGAUUCAAGCAAAACGAAUUUCACGAUAGGAAUUCUAUCAAAACUCAAUUACGGUAUACCCUACCCCAAACGGAUUUCAACCAACUUUUUCUGAGACUUUCCUCCAGAGAUGGCGCAUAUUCGCGGGGGUAUCGGCACUUAUCUCAUACGUAUUUUUACCAUCGAUGCUGCGCUGCAGAAAUCGAUAUUAACUUGUAGAGAUAACGUGCCGUUUAACGUUCCUAUUUCCGUAAUUAUUGGCUGAACGGCGAAGGAGUGCGGAGCAAUCUAGCCGGCCGACUCGAGUUUAGGCAGUUUUUUCUACGCGAUAGGUGGCGUCUUUUGGGCAAAACUAUUGAAAAAAGGCCGCGACCUUCGUUUUUAAGGCAUGGCUUGGAGAGGCUACUCUUAUACUAAAAGCCGUGGAAUUUCUCAUAUCAUAAAUAAUAUAUACGUUGUUUCUAGUCAGAAUAGGUCUCGGCUCCGAUUACCCAAGAACCAGCUUACUGUUGGUGGAGCUUUAUAAAGAUUUUUCUUUUCCUUAUAGCUAUUGCGUACUAUUGAGCCAUGAUCAGACACAACCAAACUGGAAUGAUCUCGACCGUGUUUGCUACAUAUUCGGAAAGCCUGUGCGUGAAUCGGUGACAAACUUUAAACAUACCUACUUAACGAGUAACAUUUUGGCGACUUUGAGGGAAGCGGAUUUUAUCUGGCAAAUAAAAUAUUAAGGGAUUUGGGUUGCUAUAAGAAGCUAGCCCAGAUGGCAAACGUCUUGAUCCUUUUUCACUUUUAUCGCUAUUCUAUAGUCAACGCAUUCGAUCAUGCCAGCGAUCAGUCGUUUUUCGACCGUUUCUUUCACGGGAUUUUAUGACUGGACUUCCUGGAAUUCCUGAUUCUCAUCUGCCCCAAGAGGUUGUAGACAAGAUGGUUGAAGCCUUCUUUACUGUUCCAGGGAUUUCCAGGGUUUUGUUUGACCUGACGGCAAAACCAUCCGAGACAACGGAGUGGGAAUGAUUUGAUUUACGAACGUUGCUUAGGCAAAUCAUCUCCGCACUCUUUAUAGGACACGGAUACGGAGUUAUAUCAUUGACUAGAUAUAGAAGGGAAAUAUUAUGAACAGUGGAUUCAGUAUAGACGUUUGAAAUUGAAAAAUCAAUCAACUUUGUCGUUGCUUGAAAAUCUCUUGAACCCGCUUUUAAGAGGAUUUCACGUGAUAACUUGUUGACUAUUCCUUAAAUAUACAUGCACACUUGUUGGAAAUAAAGGGUGCAUUAGUUUUUCUUCGAAACAAAUUAAACAUUGUUAAUGUGCAGCUAGGUGGGUUGUGGUUUUAUCUCUCUUGUAUAACUACCGUUUUUCGCCAAAUUGUUAAUCUAAUUCUUUUGAAACGUUCGGAUGUCGCCCAUGCCAUUUCCUAAAACUGAAUAUUCAUAAAAUGUAUAUGUUCGCGAAUUGUUCAGAACUAUUCAGAGUGGCACCAUAAAGUAUAACUGUACGAAAGGGUACGUAGGCUUCUAAAAAUAAAGAACAGCUCUGACGUCUUUGGUAAGCGGAAAGGGUACUGCUCAUUGAAGCGUCAGAUGACGGUUUUAAGAAUGGA